CUAAGGAUAUAUGGAGCAGCGUGCGUUUUCGUCUUGUUUAGUUUUGAAGGAUCAUUCCUUCAAACAUGUCUCUAGCGAGACAGGAUUGUUCUUUGAAAACUAGAUAACAAUAAGUAAUACAUUCACAUUGAAUGCAAUGCAAAGUUCAUCACACAUAGUGAUUCUUUCUAAAGUAAGAAAU
This 181-nucleotide unclassified non-coding RNA is filed under the name uncultured bacterium. RNAcentral describes it as "16S-23S ribosomal RNA intergenic spacer". The record is from RNAcentral.